AUUGAACGCUGGCGGCAGGCCUAACACAUGCAAGUCGAACGAGUGGCGGACGGGUGAGUAAUGUCUGGGAAACUGCCCGAUGGAGGGGGAUAAAUACUGGAAACGGUAGCUAAUACCGCAUACCAUCGGAUGUGCCCAGGUGGGUAGAGCUUGGAGGGGGGGUAACGGCUCACCUAGGCGACGAUCCCUAGCUGGUCUGAGAGGAUGACAAGCCACACUGGAACGGCGACACGGUCCAGACUCCUACGGGAGGCAGCAGGGGGGAAUAUUGCACAAUGGGCGCAAGCCUGAUGCAGCCAUGCCGCGUGUGUGAAGAAGGCCUGCGGGUUGUAAAGUACUUUCAGCGAGGAGGCGUUACUCGCAGAAGAAGCACCGGCUAACUCCGUGCCAGCAGCCGCGGUAAUUC
This 406-nucleotide ribosomal RNA is filed under the name uncultured bacterium. RNAcentral's name for it is "partial 16S ribosomal RNA". It matches the Rfam family "Bacterial small subunit ribosomal RNA", at positions 29 to 526 of the family's 1533-position model. The record is from RNAcentral.